GACGAACGCUGGCGGCGUGCCUAAUACAUGCAAGUCGAACGCUUCUUUCCUCCCGAGUGCUUGCACUCAAUUGGAAAGAGGAGUGGCGGACGGGUGAGUAACACGUGGGUAACCUACCCAUCAGAGGGGGAUAACACUUGGAAACAGGUGCUAAUACCGCAUAACAGUUUAUGCCGCAUGGCAUAAGAGUGAAAGGCGCUUUCGGGUGUCGCUGAUGGAUGGACCCGCGGUGCAUUAGCUAGUUGGUGAGGUAACGGCUCACCAAGGCCACGAUGCAUAGCCGACCUGAGAGGGUGAUCGGCCACACUGGGACUGAGACACGGCCCAGACUCCUACGGGAGGCAGCAGUAGGGAAUCUUCGGCAAUGGACGAAAGUCUGACCGAGCAACGCCGCGUGAGUGAAGAAGGUUUUCGGAUCGUAAAACCCUGUUGUUAGAGAAGAACAAGGACGUUAGUAACUGAACGUCCCCUGACGGUAUCUAACCAGAAAGCCACGGCUAACUACGUG
Molecule: ribosomal RNA, 508 nt
Filed under: uncultured bacterium
Lineage: Bacteria
Description: partial 16S ribosomal RNA
Rfam family: Bacterial small subunit ribosomal RNA
Source: RNAcentral